This 253-nucleotide ribosomal RNA is filed under the name uncultured bacterium. RNAcentral's name for it is "partial 16S ribosomal RNA". It matches the Rfam family "Bacterial small subunit ribosomal RNA", at positions 524 to 776 of the family's 1533-position model. The record is from RNAcentral.
UACGUAGGGGGCAAGCGUUGUCCGGAAUCAUUGGGCGUAAAGAGCGUGUAGGCGGCUUGGUAAGUCUGCUCUGAGAGCCCGGGGCUCAACCCCGGGAGGCGGGUGGAUACUGUCAAGCUCGAGUCCGGAAGAGGAGUGUGGAAUUCCUGGUGUAGCGGUGAAAUGCGCAGAUAUCAGGAGGAACACCAAUGGCGAAGGCAGCACUCUGGGACGUGACUGACGCUGAGACGCGAAAGCGUGGGGAGCAAACAGG